RNAcentral lists this ribosomal RNA (286 nucleotides) under Pseudomonas sp. RNAcentral's name for it is "partial 16S ribosomal RNA". It matches the Rfam family "Bacterial small subunit ribosomal RNA", at positions 306 to 586 of the family's 1533-position model. The record is from RNAcentral. Lineage: Bacteria; Pseudomonadati; Pseudomonadota; Gammaproteobacteria; Pseudomonadales; Pseudomonadaceae.
AGUCACACUGGAACUGAGACACGGUCCAGACUCCUACGGGAGGCAGCAGUGGGGAAUAUUGGACAAUGGGCGAAAGCCUGAUCCAGCCAUGCCGCGUGUGUGAAGAAGGUCUUCGGAUUGUAAAGCACUUUAAGUUGGGAGGAAGGGCAUUAACCUAAUACUUAGUUUUUGACGUUACCGACAGAAUAAGCACCGGCUAACUCUGUGCCAGCAGCCGCGGUAAUACAGAGGGUGCAAGCGUUAAUCGGAAUUACUGGGCGUAAAGCGCGCGUAGGUGGUUUGUUAA